This 421-nucleotide ribosomal RNA is filed under the name Verrucomicrobiota bacterium. RNAcentral's name for it is "Verrucomicrobia bacterium partial 16S ribosomal RNA". It matches the Rfam family "Bacterial small subunit ribosomal RNA", at positions 355 to 776 of the family's 1533-position model. Lineage: Bacteria; Pseudomonadati; Verrucomicrobiota. The record is from RNAcentral.
UGGGGGAUAUUGCACAACGGGCGAAAGCCUGAUGCAGCGACGCCGCGUGGGGGAUGAAGGCUUUUGGGUUGUAAACCUCUUUCGCUAUCGAACAAGGCUCAUUUUUUGGUGGGUUGAGGGUAGGUGGAGAAGAAGCGCCGGCUAACUACGUGCCAGCAGCCGCGGUAAUACGUAGGGCGCGAGCGUUGUCCGGAAUCAUUGGGCGUAAAGGGCUUGUAGGCGGCUUGUUGCGCCUGCUGUGAAAACGCGGGGCUUAACUUCGCGCGUGCAGUGGGUACGGGCAGGCUUGAGUGUGGUAGGGGUGACUGGAAUUCCAGGUGUAGCGGUGGAAUGCGCAGAUAUCUGGAGGAACACCGAUGGCGGAGGCAGGUCACUGGGCCAUUACUGACGCUGGGGAGCGAAAGCAUGGGUAGCGAACAGG